This 460-nucleotide ribosomal RNA is filed under the name uncultured bacterium. RNAcentral's name for it is "partial 16S ribosomal RNA". It matches the Rfam family "Bacterial small subunit ribosomal RNA", at positions 338 to 795 of the family's 1533-position model. The record is from RNAcentral.
CCUACGGGGUGCAGCAGUGAGGAAUAUUGGUCAAUGGCCGUAAGGCUGAACCAGCCAAGUCGCGUGAAGGAAGAAGGAUCUAUGGUUUGUAAACUUCUUUUAUAGGGGAAUAAAGGUAUCCACGUGUGGAUAUUUGCAUGUACCCUAUGAAUAAGCAUCGGCUAACUCCGUGCCAGCAGCCGCGGUAAUACGGAGGAUGCGAGCGUUAUCCGGAUUUAUUGGGUUUAAAGGGUGCGUAGGUUGUUUUUUAAGUCAGCGGUGAAAGUUUGUGGCUCAACCAUAAAAUUGCCGUUGAAACUGGAAGACUUGAGUGUGUUUGAGGUAGGCGGAAUGCGUGGUGUAGCGGUGAAAUGCAUAGAUAUCACGCAGAACUCCGAUUGCGAAGGCAGCUUACUAAGCCAUAACUGACACUGAAGCACGAAAGCGUGGGGAGCAAACAGGAUUAGAUACCCGUGUAGUC